AGGUCAACGAUUACGAAUUUCCAAAUGUCGCCAUGGUUACGAAGGAAAAUUAUGUGAGAUAGAUAUUGAUUGGUGUGACGUCGUAAGGAAUAACGGUUCUGUACCAUGUGAUUAUGGAAUGUGACAAGAUGGCCAGUUCAACUAUACACUGAACACGACUGCAUUAAAGAUGAAGAUGAAUGUGACUAGCAUGCUUUGCGAGAAUUCUGCUGUCUGUAUUCAUAAGUCAAAUGCAACCUACUUUGGAAUCGAUCAAAAGUGAAAGGUACGGAUUAUUGAACAGAUUGUCUCUUUUCUGUGUUUUUUUCUAUGUUUAGUCUUUAG
Paramuricea clavata is the source of this 324-nucleotide non-coding RNA. NCBI's taxonomy places the organism in Eukaryota, Metazoa, Cnidaria, Anthozoa, Malacalcyonacea, Plexauridae. The record is from the annotation of a GenBank genome assembly.